GACGAACGCUGGCGGCGUGCUUAACACAUGCAGGUCGAACGAGAAUCUACUGAAGGAGGAUUCGUCCAACGGAAGUAGAGGAAAGUGGCGGACGGGUGAGUAACGCGUGAGGAACCUGCCUUGAAGAGGGGGACAACAGUUGGAAACGACUGCUAAUACCGCAUGAUGCAUAAGGGUCGCAUGAUUCUUAUGCCAAAGAUUUAUCGCUUCAAGAUGGCCUCGCGUCUGAUUAGCUAGUUGGCGGGGUAACGGCCCACCAAGGCGACGAUCAGUAGCCGGACUGAGAGGUUGAACGGCCACAUUGGGACUGAGAUACGGCCCAGACUCCUACGGGAGGCAGCAGUGGGGAAUAUUGGGCAAUGGGCGCAAGCCUGACCCAGCAACGCCGCGUGAAGGAAGAAGGCUUUCGGGUUGUAAACUUCUUUUAAGAGGGAAGAGCAGAAGACGGUAC
This 451-nucleotide ribosomal RNA is filed under the name uncultured bacterium. RNAcentral's name for it is "bacterial SSU rRNA". It matches the Rfam family "Bacterial small subunit ribosomal RNA", at positions 28 to 478 of the family's 1533-position model. The record is from RNAcentral.